UACGUAGGGUGCAAGCGUUAUCCGGAAUUAUUGGGCGUAAAGAGCUCGUAGGCGGUUUGUCGCGUCUGCUGUGAAAACUGGGGGCUCAACCCCCAGCCUGCAGUGGGUACGGGCAGACUAGAGUGCGGUAGGGGAGAUUGGAAUUCCUGGUGUAGCGGUGGAAUGCGCAGAUAUCAGGAGGAACACCGAUGGCGAAGGCAGGUCUCUGGGCCAUUACUGACACUGAGAAGCGAAAGCAUGGGGAGCGAACAGG
Molecule: ribosomal RNA, 253 nt
Filed under: uncultured bacterium
Lineage: Bacteria
Description: partial 16S ribosomal RNA
Rfam family: Bacterial small subunit ribosomal RNA
Source: RNAcentral